AUCCAGAACCUGCAUCGUACUCUGCAUGCCCACUAGGGCUAUCCAGCAGUCAGCCUUGCCUGGACCUUGUCUUCCCAAAGCCUUCCAGAUGCCGUCCUUUUACAACUGAGUAGCAACGUGUAAAAAAGAAUAGAGGGAAGGGUUUGAGAAUAAAAUGUUGGAAAUGAAAAAGUACGUGAGGAUGCGGCGCAAGCUCCCGCGGCUCUGCAGACACCCACGGGUGCCAGGGGAACUCAGGGGCUGUGCACCCCUGCCCAAGAGCAGAGCCUGAUAUGCCCUGACAAAGAGCUAUUGAUGGUGCGCUUGUGUGAAUUGGCCCAGUGCUGGUCACAGCCAACUUCUGCAGGACCUGCUGCCCCUGCUCUACAAUACACUCCAGUGUGCUGAGCCAUUUGUGAAAGGUCAGAAAUGAACAGAGAAAUGGACUGGAGUCAAAAACAAGUAGUCCUAUAAAUAUCAGUCAUCGUCAAAAGCGGUUUAUUCCAUUCCUCCCCUCUCUCUCCCUCUGUGUGUCUCUCCCUCCCUCUGUUGUGGUUUCCCAGAUAUAACUCCAUGUUUCUGACUGUGAAGCUCUGAAAGGGAAGCAGCACACACACUGCAGCUUCUGCUUCCAUUUUGCACACAUGGAAUAAUCCUCAGUCCCGCAAGCAGGACUGACAGCCAGCACCGAGUCCAGACAUCAUCUGCACUCAGAUGCUGUAUUUUGAUUGCUCGGGUUUUCUUUAUCUGUGCAAAACUCAUUUGCUACAGCUUAAGAAUUAGCUUUGGCCGCACACAGCUUGGACUGGGACUCCUGAGGGCUCUUCUCUGACUUCACAAUGACUUUAGCAGCUAAAUUAGAGGAUAUUGAAGUGACGCUGGAGCACCUACUAAUGGAUGUGUUCGUAAGUAAGCUACAAUUUCCUAUUUAAAGCAGGAUGCUAGCAAUCCAGAAGGCAGUAUACAAAGUUAAUGGUGUGUGCUAGGGUUGCAUUGGCUUAAUUCCUUCACAUCUCCUGCUUAGCAGUGGAUGCAGCGCUAGCAGCCUUGUGGCACAGCAAAGCCUCCACUGCAAAUGGCAACAUGUAAACUGGAACAGCAUGACUUCAGGGCAGGAUAUACUUUGCACUGGUUUUGUAUAUCACCUACAGUGUUGGUGAAGCACGUGCAAAGGGGGAGAGUUUGGGUCAGAACAGUUUGCAAGCAAAAGGAGUGCACUGACAAAAGUGUUAAGCUGUGUAAUUGCUUAGCAUCAAGUGUCUUUGGCUUGGGGAUUUUGAUAGCUGUGAGGUUAUGGUCUUUUAGUAGUCUGAGUUUGGGGUUAGUUAGAG
Non-coding RNA from Phasianus colchicus (ring-necked pheasant), 1310 nucleotides. Lineage: Eukaryota; Metazoa; Chordata; Aves; Galliformes; Phasianidae. The record is from RefSeq and is a predicted model, not a curated record.